Molecule: long non-coding RNA, 588 nt
Filed under: Androctonus crassicauda
Lineage: Eukaryota; Metazoa; Arthropoda; Arachnida; Scorpiones; Buthidae
Source: RNAcentral
CAAUUUUAAAAAGUAUAUAUAUUUUUUAAAUGUUAUGCUGUAUAACAAAUUCAGUUAUUGAAUUAGAUUUUGAUUAAUUUUUUCAAUAGUAAUAACUUGAAAUGUCAUUUAAUAUAAUAUGUUAUCUAAAUGCUUUUGAAAUGCAAUGUUUAAGAUUAUAAAAUUUGUGAUUUUCUUCAUAUUGCAUUGUAAUUUCAACAAAUAGCAAUAUUUUAAAGUUGUUUUUAAGACUUUAAUUUGUAAAAGUUAUUUUUUCUUAAUAUAAAAUUUCCUUAUCGUGUAGAAUUUCAAUAAUAAUUUUUUGGGGAGAUGCUUCUUGUUGCCAUGAUUCAACCACUUAAUUGCUAUUGCCAUGCUUUUGUAACAGAUGGGAAUUUAGAAGUAAUCUACAUCAGAAAAAUGAAUUUAUGGCAUACCAAAUCAAAGGUAACAGAUGUGGAUGUUAAAUUCAUUAUUAAUUGGUAUCAAAACAACAAAAAUAAUUUUAUCAAUAUAGCAAACAUUUUUAUUCCUACAAAUUUAAAUUAAAUCAUAUUAAUUUUAAUAUUUUUACACUGGCACUUAAAUUGGUUUUAUCAGUUUGCUAGC